RNAcentral lists this RNase MRP RNA (604 nucleotides) under Exophiala aquamarina CBS 119918. RNAcentral describes it as "RNase MRP". It matches the Rfam family "RNase MRP". Rfam says of the family: RNase MRP is an enzymatically active ribonucleoprotein with two distinct roles in eukaryotes. Lineage: Eukaryota; Fungi; Ascomycota; Eurotiomycetes; Chaetothyriales; Herpotrichiellaceae. The record is from Rfam by way of RNAcentral.
UCCGCGCUCAAAGAAUCGCAUUCAAAGCUUACGCACAGCAAGGCACAGUUGUUUUUCUUCAGGAGAACACGCUCAUCUUGCACACCCAUCAUGCUUUGGGAGAAAGUCCCCGGACCACCUGAGCAUCUUUCCGAAGAUGGAUUUUAGGACUUGCCGAAAGGCGCCGCCAUAAAAGCACUUUCACAGCGGCUUAUCACACGCCUUCCCCUCUUCUCGUUGACACCCGUCUUCUUUCUAGCUCUAACCUCUUUGUCGCUUGCAUUUCUCUGCAACUUUGAACCUCCACCCACAGUAUGCCUCAUUUUUUGACGCGUGAUGGGUGUCCGGAUUGGAUGAAGAUACGAGUCCGUCCCUUGGGCCUCCGGGCUGGGCAUUCUGAUGCAGAUAGAAUGAGGUAUCCGGGCGGUUGGGGACUGUUCUGGGAAAGAGAUAGCGAGGGUGCGAUACUGGGAGCGGAAGAGGUGGAGUUCUCAUGGGAUCCAAGAGCUGGUUCGAAGGUUGCGCAAUUCGUCACACGUACACAGUUAUGCGAUUGCUCGGUCUCUACUCCUCUCAAGGGGUUUCAUGACAGAGUAACUCGACGGGGCUUAUUCUUGAGGCGCGG